GAAAAAAAGAAAAGAGGUUCAUUCCUUCCCACUGCCGACAUGCAAAUCUUUGUGAUUUUAAAGUGCACCUUCUUAGAUCGUCGCAGUAGAUGAAAUGAAAAAUAAACGAUUGCAAACAGUACAACAUUAUUUUUUUAUUUAGGACAUUGCAUUGCGUUGUAUGUUUUGGAGGACAUUGCUAAUUUACAAGUCGGCUUCACCUAACUUCUACGUGCGUUGCGGGAAGUCAACGUUAGGAAAUGCUCAGUCUUGCUGGAUUGCUUGUUUCUUUGCAUUUCAAUUCAGCGGAACGAUGUUUUUUUUUAAUUGUUUGACUUUGGUUCUUCAUAAAACAUAUUUUCCAGUUCAUCGUCUUUGUUGUAACUACUCCGACGAGGUUGAAGGGCCAUCUCACAUUUUGGGCUUGUAAGAUCGACUUCUUCUAAGCAUUUUUUAGCUUCUCUCUUUCAUUUCAUGUUCGGGUAACAACAGAACACUUCACCUAAAUGUCAAUGGCAAACAGGUCAGAAAGAAAGGAAUGUGUCUACCUUCAUUUGUGAGAUGUAGCUAGUCUUCACCCAACUCCUACGUGCAUUGGGGGAAAGCCUACUUUAGGAAAUGUUCAGUCUUGCUACUGCAUGUUUCUUUGCAUUUAAACUUAGCGAAACGGUGUUUUUUUUUUAAUCGUUUGAUUUUGGUUUGACAUAAAACAUAUUUUCCAGUUCAUCUUCCUUCUUUUGCUGUAACUACUCCGAGGAGGUUGAAGGGAGGAGUUUGAGAUCUUCCUUGACAACAAGGCAAAAAUGUGUGCUAUACAAUGGAGAAGAGGUGGAAAACUUUUUUUUUCAAGUUAAUCCAGUCGGGAUUCCAGAUGAAGAUUUUUUUCUCCGUGAGAGUGUUUGACUGGAAAGACAGACUGUGGAGACGUGUUUGAGACAACACACAGGCUGCAUCCGAAAUUCGUGUGUGUAACCUCUUCUCCAUCUGCCACACACAUCUCUACCUAGCACAGGCUGCUCUUCAUCUGCGUCUGAUGAUGACGACCAUGCGCCAUCAAGCCGAGGAUCAACCUCAGGCCAUGUUGUGUCAUCGGCGGCUGACUUGUCUUGACUGGUCAUUACAAACCAAGUUCAUUCUAUACAGCAAGAGGAGAAAGCAAAUUGUCAUCAUAACAGCAAGUCUCCAUAACACAAGUAAGCUAUGUCAUCCGUCAUGGAAAAGUUGGAUAAACUGAAAAAAUGUGGUGACGGUGAAAUUCAGAAAAUGAGCAACAUACCCAAAAACGAAAAGUUCGAAGUGCUGGACAUUCAGAAAAUUGACACUAUGUAUGGCGAGGCAGUAUACGUGGAGCUCCGCAUAGAAAACGACAAGCCAGUGAAAGUGUAUCUACCUGGACGCUUCAAAAAAUUGUCGGAGGAAGAGCUAGAGGAAAUGCGACUGCUUCCAAAUCUCAAAAUGGAGAAGAAAGAACGGUUUACCAAAGAUGGUAAAAAAGUCAUUUCGCCAGAUAUUAUCAUCACCAAUUCGAAGAGAAAGUGAUGAGAUAUGGUGACGUGCCACUUAUGCUCCCAGCACGAACGGCAGUAUUAUGCAACAGCAUUAGGUCUUCAGAUUCACUUGGCAAAUGUUCACAAUCUUCAAGCCCCCUGCAUUCCUUUUUGUGAGACUUUGUGCACACUGCGAAACUAUACUAAUCGGUUCGAACUACAUUUACAUGACAGGGACUUUAGCGGACAUGAUGUUACAACCUUUUUUCACGAGUACAGACAGUACAUUGCUGAUGUCUUACGACACUUUGGUUUCCCACUGCGCUAUUUUGUAUUGCUUAAAGUGGAACUUGGUCGUCACACGCCAGACGAUGAGUUACAGCUCGAAAUUAGUUUCGUGCCUUCCAAAGUAGUGACAGUAUGGUCAGAGGCAGAUGUAGAACCUUCUAUCACUCAAGUGACUGCUGAAAUAGCACAAAAUUUGGAAAACCUCGAAGUAGAAGGUUCAGGUUUUUUUCUCUUUCGCAUUCAUGCCUGUAUCAUGAACAUUGGACGUUUGAUGCCUCAACUGAUUGGAUGUGCCCAGUUUGAGUUACCGCAAGAAUUGAAGCAUAAGUUUCGUUCUCUGUUGUGUGUAGACUUUGGUUUGCAUGAAGAUGAGCAGAACAUGUGUUUUGCCUUCUCUGUAAUAGCUGCACUGCAUCCUGCUACUGGUUAUCGCAGGCGUAGGGCAUCUUCAUACAGACCAUAUAUUUCUGAGUAUGUUUUUCCGAAAAUAUUCCCGGUAGCUUUCCCAAAAGAGGUUGAAGCAUUCGAAAAAAAUAAUGGUAUCAGUAUCAAUGUGUACGCCUACGAAAGGGAAGACAAAUCUCUGUACCCCAUCAAGGUUGUCGAUGACGAGCGUGAGAAACAUGUGGAUCUGUUGCUAAUCGACUCUCAUUUUCUGCUUAUCACAAAUUUUAAUGGAUUAUUUCAACCUAGCGGACGGUUUCAUUGCAAGAGGUGUAUGAUGGGCUUCUCAUCAGACAGAAUCCUCAGUGAUCAUUUAAAGAUGUGUUUGCAUCAGAAGGUUGCUAAGACAAUUUACCCUAAGAAGGGAGAGACGGUAGCAUUUGCCGGGGAACAUCUCAUGUCGGAAGUCCCUUUCUACUGUGUAUAUGAUUUUGAAAGUGUUUUGUCACCUUGUUUGGAGGAAACAAACGUGUAUGAAGAUCACUGUCCUUCCUCAUUUUGCCUUUUGGUUAUACGUGCAUCCGACUCACACGUGUUGCAAAAGCAUCUUUUCCGUGGUCCUAAUUGUGUCACAGUAUUUAUGGAGCUGCUGCGGAAAUUGCAUGACGAAAUUUUAGGAUGGAUACAUGCUUUUGCACCUCUAGAAAUGACCGAAGAGAAUGAGCGUCAACAUACAGCAGCCACUCAUUGUAAUAUGUGCAAAGAAUCCUUUGCUAAAAGACAAAAAGUUCGAGACCAUGACCAUGUAAGCGGAGAAUUUCGACAAACACUAUGUCAGACGUGUAACCUGAAACUGAGAGUGCCACCCAAGAUUCCAAUCAUUGCACAUAAUGCUAACUAUGACAUGAGUUUUCUCCUGUCUCAUUUACAUCUGCUUAAGAAGUCAGACAACAACGUGAUUGCCACCAGCUGUCAAAAAUUUAAAGCAAUUGACAUCGGCUCUUAUCGAUUCUUGGACAGUUUGAGUUUUCUGAACGCAAGCCUUGAAACACUGGUGAAAAAUCUAUGUGAUAAAGGUGAAUCCAACUUUCAAUGCCUUCGCCAGUUUUUUCCAAAUGAGGAACACUUUCAGCUGGUUGUUCGUAAGGGGGUCUUCUGUUAUAACUUUGUCACCAGUUUUGAAGCCUAUGAUGAGCCUUCGCUACCACCUCGAGAUAAGUUCUUUAACAUUUUGAAUGGAACCAAAGUAAGUGAACAAGACUACAAACACGCGCAGAAUGUGUAUGAAAAAUUUCGGCUCAAGAGUCUUGGAGAGUAUUCGGACUUAUACCUUCUGACAGACACACUGCUUUUAGCAGAUGUGUUUCAGAACUUUCGAAAGUGGACACUCGAUGUGCACAAGAUUGAACCGUUUCAUUUUGUAUCCCUUCCAGGAUUAAGCAUGUCUUGUGCACUAAAAAUGAGUCAGGUAGAACUAGAACUAAUUAACGACCCCAACGUGUACCUGCUCAUCGAGAAUGGCUUACGAGGAGGUGUCACACAGUGCCCCCUGAGAAAAGCAACUGCGAAUGUGCCAGGAACAGAACAGUUUGAUCCCGAAAAAAAAAAAAAAAAUUAACUACAUUGAUGUAAAUGGCCUGUAUGGAGCAGUCAUGAGAGAACCAUUGCCUUACGGAGGAUUUGAGUGGCUCACUGAGGAGGAAAUUGUUCACUUGGAUAUAGCUCAGAUGCGAGAUGAUACCCCUGUGGGUUACUUUCUUGAGGUAGACCUAGUGUAUGACCGAGCAACUCAUGAACGCCACAGAGAUCUUCCCGUUGCCCCUGAAAAAAUGUCCGUUCGUUAUGAGCUAUUGUCAGACUAUCAGAAGGCGCUCAUGAAGAAGUUCAAUCUUCCACAGAAAGCUACCGAAGCAAAACUGUUGCUAACAUUAUUUGAUAAAGAGAGGUACUUUCUCCACUAUCGCAAUUUGCAACUGUAUCUGCAAUUGGGGUUGCGUCUCACUAAAGUUCACAGUGUUCUCAAGUUCAAUCAAAAGCCCUUUCUGCGAUCCUAUGUCGACUUCAAUCACGAACUUCGGAAGCGAGCUACAAACGCAUUUGAGAAACAGCAAUCAAAGCUAAUGAUUAAUAGUGUAUAUGGCAGGACAUGUAUGCAAGUCAGGAAAUUCGUAAAUUGUCGCCUCACAGUAACAGAUGAGCAAGUGUUGAAGCUUCUACGUAAACCAAACUUGAAACAGUUCCGCCCUCUGAGCUCUCACGUCAUCUUGUUCCAAUUUAGUCAGUCUGUUCUUCGCAUGAAGCAACCGCUGUACCUGGGCUUCACAAUAUUGGAAUUGUCUAAGCUGAAGAUGUUUGAUUUUUAUCAUAACCAUCUUCUCCGUGUAGCCCCUGAUACACGAGUGCUAUACAUGGACACUGAUUCUUACAUUGUGAUGCUGAGUGACGAUAAAGUACUCCACGAACUAGCUGACGAGCAUCUAGACAACUCUGGAUAUGACCCUGAUCACCCACUCUAUUCGACAAAAAACGGGAUGGUACUAGGAAAGCUUAAAAAUGAGCUUCCUCGUGAUCACAUUCUUGGCUUCUGUUGUCUGAAGCGAAAGCUGUACGCCCUCGAUCUGUGCAGCAAAAAGGAGUACAAUCGCGCUAAGGGUGUUAAACAAUGUGAAGCACAAAAACUCCACUUCUCUAUGUACACGAAUGCUCUUGAGCAGGGCACAAUGCAUAAAGUUAAACAGAACCUCAUUGUGCACAAGGACAAUGUCAACAAAAGUGUGUCAGUGACAAAAAUAGCCCUCAAUCCACUGGAUACGAAACGCUUCAUUUGUGUUGAUGGAAUUGACACGCUACCUUUUGGCUAUGGUUGAAUUUUUUUAAUGUGUACGGAUUGGUCUCUCUAAUGAAGCGAUGGUGUUGGGGUGUGCACCGUCACGAGGUUUCAUUACAGAGUUGGCAUACGGGAGUAGGAGGGAACUCAUCUGUUAUCACCCCGCAACAGAUGUUGCCCUUCUAUUCCUGGUCCCACAGAAAAAAAUUGUAAUAAAGAUGUUACAUCCAUAUAGCUAUGGUUUGUCAUAUAUUAGAACAAUGUCAUGUUAGAACCAUGAACUAAAGCUAUUGCAUUAUUCCACAUCUAUGGUUGUCAGUGUGGGAUUACUUACAACUGUGAGUUAGGAGCUAGAGGAUAUUUGUUAGCCACGAGUGAUGACUAAGCUGAGACCUGGUCUGAUGAAUUUCAUGUCUUCCUGAAGUAAUGUGUAGCUCUUGAUGUGAGUGAAAGAGACAGUUUGCUUUCCCAUAUUGCUGCAUGCAUUUGCGAUAGAAAUAACAACUGACUUUGUCUGCAAGUCACUGUUUGUAAAUGGACCGUCUCAGACGAAUUUGAUUAUAUGUGCAUGAAAUAACCUGUUUUCUAAGAAUUUGAUUAUAAGAGUAUGUGAUAACCAGUUUCUAAUAGCAUGUAUGUAAUCUAUAACAAUGUCUUUGUUUGCAAGUCAGUGUUUGCAAAUAGCCUGUCUCAGAUGAGAGUCACUGUUUGUAAAUGAUCCGUGUCAGAAAAUUUUUGAUUAUACAGUCAAACUUCUUUACAACGAAACUCAGGGGACAGCAAAAAAAAUUCGCAGUAAAGGUAUUUUCGUUAAAAAGGAUGUCCAUUAUUGGACCUAUAGGGCUCCAGCAGGACCGCAAAAAAAUUUGCUGUAGUGGUAUUAUCGUUAAAAAGG
Ornithodoros turicata is the source of this 5860-nucleotide RNA transcript. RefSeq lists it as uncharacterized. The transcript is spliced from 3 exons. Lineage: Eukaryota; Metazoa; Arthropoda; Arachnida; Ixodida; Argasidae. The record is from RefSeq and is a predicted model, not a curated record.